ACCACACACCAAACAAAGCUGAAGCUUUGAGGAAGCCUCACGGCCGACUCACAAACCUAGACAACUCUCAACAACGGAUAUCUUGGCUCCCGCAACGAUGAAGAACGCAGCGAAAUGCGAUACUUAAUGUGAAUUGCAGAAUUCCGUGAAUCAUCGAGU
Molecule: ribosomal RNA, 159 nt
Filed under: Chlorella sp. UTEX 2068
Lineage: Eukaryota; Viridiplantae; Chlorophyta; Trebouxiophyceae; Chlorellales; Chlorellaceae
Description: 5.8S ribosomal RNA
Rfam family: 5.8S ribosomal RNA (bases 63-159)
About the family: 5.8S ribosomal RNA (5.8S rRNA) is a component of the large subunit of the eukaryotic ribosome. It is transcribed by RNA polymerase I as part of the 45S precursor that also contains 18S and 28S rRNA. Functionally, it is thought that 5.8S rRNA may be involved in ribosome translocation.
Source: RNAcentral